AAAAAAAAAAGCCUCCGAUAUCGAAUUUUCUUGUUUUUGCCUUCUUCUCCGUCUUCUUCUGUCUGUCGGAAUGACAAAACCGGAGCUAAGGAGCCGUGUUUCAAUCCGACUAGUGGAAGAGAGACUCUAUGUUUGAAAACCCGAGGUUCAUCAGAGAGAGGUCCAUAAUCACCGAUCUCUCUCUCUCUCCCCGAAGCUGACACUAUAUUGUCUCUAGUGUUUCUGGCUUUCUAUGAAGUUUCCGGUGGACCUUUUGGUCUGGAUGAUUCUGUGAAAUCAGGUGGUGGUCCUCUCUUAUCUCUGCUUUAGGGUUCUUGAUUUCCCCUCUGUUUGGAUCUCUUCAGCAUUUUUUUGUCCGUUUUGGGGAUUCCAAGAUGGGUUUUGGAAAUGGUUUAGUGGUGUUAGGCAUUACAUUCUCUCUCACUUAUUUUGAUAAAACUAUAGAGGAUUUGCUGCUGCAUAUUGUUGGCUUGUGCUGGCAGUUUCUUUUUUUCGCUAUGUCCCUUUCGUUGUAAUGGCUUUACUUGCGGUGGUUCAGGCCUAAGCGUUGGCUGUUUUGUGGGUACUCGAGAGUUUGAUUAGUUGAAGAGGGUCUUUUAAUACCAUGUUUUGGAAUCUGUAACUAUUGGGACAAAACUAGUACCCUUGCAGGAGAGUUUAAAGAGUCCCGGAAAGGCUUUGUUUUUUUUGGAGCGGUUUUGUUCGUCAUGUGGUCCUAUUUGAUUCCCCUCAUGCCAGGUAGUAGGGACUGGAUCUUUAAGCUCAUCCUCUUCCGGAUAGUGGAGAGAUACGUAUUUUUCCUGAGGUUGGGAUGCUCAUUUGGAGGUGUUUGGCUCAAGGGAUGGAUACAAAAUAACUGCUGCUGCAAUGUCUAAUCUUAGAUUGUUUGAACCCAAAGGUCAAAGUAUGGGACACCAACGCUCAGUAUUCUGUGCUCAGCUACAGGAAUCAUCAUAUUCCUCUCUACUGGAUGAGCUUCCAAGAGAUCAUUGAGUUUCUGAAUUUCUUCGUACGCGCAUCAGGAAUGCUUCUGGAACUCGCAGCCUUUUGUCAAACAUAGGGAUUAGGCUACUGGAUCUCCACCCACUCCUUAUUGAGUUCCCGAGAACUCAUUUGGAUUUUCAAAUGUCUGUGCCUGCCUCCUUCUUUGCAUUUCAUUCUUGGUGAUGGUUUUUGCCGCUUCAAAGACAUUUCUUAUCAGUGGCGCGGUUAUCAGUCUGCCUGUACCCGUUCUUAACACACUUGCAAACGAGAAACGAUGGGCGUGAUUUAUCCGGGAGGAAAACAAGACCAGUUUCAGGAGAUACAUUAGAGUCACAGUUGAAUUUGAUAUCCAAGAAUGCGGAGAACAAGUCUUUUUAAGUUUAUUUGCAUUUGAUAUCUUCUCUGCUGUUUGAAACAGCCUGUUUCUCAUCUUUUGAUCAUUGGAUCUCUUUCUCUGGCUUGGAGCCUUGGAGACAUGUACCAUGUAGUUAGUUAAUCCAAGAAUGCGGUAUGAGAAUAUAUGUGGUUAAUGUUUCUGCGACUUUGGAUU
Camelina sativa (false flax) is the source of this 1534-nucleotide non-coding RNA. The record is from RefSeq and is a predicted model, not a curated record. NCBI's taxonomy places the organism in Eukaryota, Viridiplantae, Streptophyta, Magnoliopsida, Brassicales, Brassicaceae.